This 75-nucleotide transfer RNA is filed under the name Bradyrhizobium betae. Its description in RNAcentral is "tRNA-Thr". The stretch from base 7 to 65 matches the Rfam family "tRNA", at positions 8 to 63 of the family's 71-position model. Rfam says of the family: Transfer RNA (tRNA) molecules are approximately 80 nucleotides in length. Their secondary structure includes four short double-helical elements and three loops (D, anti-codon, and T loops). The record is from RNAcentral. Lineage: Bacteria; Pseudomonadati; Pseudomonadota; Alphaproteobacteria; Hyphomicrobiales; Nitrobacteraceae. RNAcentral also lists the same sequence under 7 other names.
UCUGGAUAGAGCAGCCCGGUAGCUCGUCAGGCUCGUAACCUGGAGGUCAUAGGUUCAAACCCUACCCCCGCACCA